This 609-nucleotide ribosomal RNA is filed under the name Triticum aestivum (bread wheat). RNAcentral describes it as "partial small subunit ribosomal RNA". Lineage: Eukaryota; Viridiplantae; Streptophyta; Magnoliopsida; Poales; Poaceae. The record is from RNAcentral.
AUGGACCCGGCUGAGAUUUUGAACGUCAGAUUUCAUAUAGGGGGGCAAUUUGUUCGAAUUGGUCCUUCUCUGGACUAUGUUGGGGGAGAUGUGGCCUACUCUGAGAUUGAGAGGGACAAGUUGUCCUUGCAGGAGGUCAAAGAUAAUACAACUGAUGGUGGAGUUGCAGAAAUUUUUGUGGAGUACAAUGGGGAACAGGAUGAAGAAGGAGAUGGGAGUGAAGAAGAUAUGCCUACUGUGAUGACAGCUGAAGAAAUGCAAGUGGAACAGCACAAUGACAAUGUAAAUGAAGAUUUACUACAGCAAGUCCUUGUCCCCAAUGACAAUGGUGUUAUUACUACAGUCAUAAGCAGCCCAUUGAAGAGAACAAGUUCUGAAAGCUGCAGUUCUAGCAAGAAAAAAAAGCAAGAGUACAAGGUGCAGAGCUUGCAGCAACAACACAAGGAGGAGAGCUUGCAGCAACAGCACAAGAAGCAGCAUAAAGAGCAGCAGAGCAAGGAGCAGCAGAGCAAGGAGCAGAGCAAGCAAAAGAGGAGUCUGAUUCAGAUGAUUCGGAGGACAAUGACUAUGUUCCACAUACUGAUGAUAGUGGAGAGGAAUCAGAGGUAG